AGAAACUUAGGUUAACAUCAUUAAACCAAGAGCCUUCAAAGCCCUAAACAGAGGAUACCCCUCUAGUCUMUG
Molecule: transfer RNA, 72 nt
Filed under: Bavayia cyclura
Lineage: Eukaryota; Metazoa; Chordata; Lepidosauria; Squamata; Diplodactylidae
Also listed under: 1 other name
Description: tRNA-Trp
Source: RNAcentral